This 27-nucleotide non-coding RNA is filed under the name Rattus norvegicus (Norway rat). The record is from RNAcentral. Lineage: Eukaryota; Metazoa; Chordata; Mammalia; Rodentia; Muridae.
UGGAGCCGCGUGUCGCAGAGCUGAAGC